AGUCGAACGAUGAAGCGGUGCUUGCACCGCUGGAUUAGUGGCGAACGGGUGAGUAACACGUGAGCAACCUGCCCUGGACUCUGGGAUAAGCGCUGGAAACGGUGUCUAAUACCGGAUAUGAGCCACGGCCGCAUGGUCGGUGGUUGGAAAGAUUUUUUGGUCUGGGAUGGGCUCGCGGCCUAUCAGCUUGUUGGUGAGGUAAUGGCUCACCAAGGCGUCGACGGGUAGCCGGCCUGAGAGGGUGACCGGCCACACUGGGACUGAGACACGGCCCAGACUCCUACGGGAGGCAGCAGUGGGGAAUAUUGCACAAUGGGCGGAAGCCUGAUGCAGCAACGCCGCGUGAGGGAUGACGGCCUUCGGGUUGUAAACCUCUUUUAGCAGGGAAGAAGCGUGAGUGACGGUACCUGCAGAAAAAGCGCCGGCUAACUACGUGCCAGCAGCCGCGGUAAUACGUAGGGCGCAAGCGUUAUCCGGAAUUAUUGGGCGUAAAGAGCUCGUAGGCGGUUUGUCGCGUCUGCUGUGAAAUCCCGAGGCUCAACUUCGGGCUUGCAGUGGGUACGGGCAGACUAGAGUGCGGUAGGGGAGAUUGGAAUUCCUGGUGUAGCGGUGGAAUGCGCAGAUAUCANGAGGAACACCGAUGGCGAAGGCAGAUCUCUGGGCCGUAACUGACGCUGAGGAGCGAAAGGGUGGGGAGCAAACAGGCUUAGAUACCCUGGUAGUCCAC
This 727-nucleotide ribosomal RNA is filed under the name Microbacterium sp. 11. Its description in RNAcentral is "bacterial SSU rRNA". It matches the Rfam family "Bacterial small subunit ribosomal RNA", at positions 60 to 798 of the family's 1533-position model. Lineage: Bacteria; Bacillati; Actinomycetota; Actinomycetes; Micrococcales; Microbacteriaceae. The record is from RNAcentral.